Molecule: ribosomal RNA, 2783 nt
Filed under: Salmonella enterica subsp. enterica serovar Tennessee
Lineage: Bacteria; Pseudomonadati; Pseudomonadota; Gammaproteobacteria; Enterobacterales; Enterobacteriaceae
Description: bacterial LSU rRNA
Rfam family: Bacterial large subunit ribosomal RNA
Source: RNAcentral
GGGUUGUGAGGUUAAGCGACUAAGCGUACACGGUGGAUGCCCUGGCAGUCAGAGGCGAUGAAGGACGUGCUAAUCUGCGAUAAGCGCCGGUAAGGUGAUAUGAACCGUUAUAACCGGCGAUUUCCGAAUGGGGAAACCCAGUGUGACUCGUCACACUAUCAUUAACUGAAUCCAUAGGUUAAUGAGGCGAACCGGGGGAACUGAAACAUCUAAGUACCCCGAGGAAAAGAAAUCAACCGAGAUUCCCCCAGUAGCGGCGAGCGAACGGGGAGGAGCCCAGAGCCUGAAUCAGCAUGUGUGUUAGUGGAAGCGUCUGGAAAGGCGCGCGAUACAGGGUGACAGCCCCGUACACAAAAGCGCAUGUGCUGUGAGCUCGAUGAGUAGGGCGGGACACGUGGUAUCCUGUCUGAAUAUGGGGGGACCAUCCUCCAAGGCUAAAUACUCCUGACUGACCGAUAGUGAACCAGUACCGUGAGGGAAAGGCGAAAAGAACCCCGGCGAGGGGAGUGAAAAAGAACCUGAAACCGUGUACGUACAAGCAGUGGGAGCNNGGGCGUUAAGUUGCAGGGUAUAGACCCGAAACCCGGUGAUCUAGCCAUGGGCAGGUUGAAGGUUGGGUAACACUAACUGGAGGACCGAACCGACUAAUGUUGAAAAAUUAGCGGAUGACCUGUGGCUGGGGGUGAAAGGCCAAUCAAACCGGGAGAUAGCUGGUUCUCCCCGAAAGCUAUUUAGGUAGCGCCUCGUGAAUUCAUCUCCGGGGGUAGAGCACUGUUUCGGCUAGGGGGCCAUCCCGGCUUACCAACCCGAUGCAAACUGCGAAUACCGGAGAAUGUUAUCACGGGAGACACACGGCGGGUGCUAACGUCCGUCGUGAAGAGGGAAACAACCCAGACCGCCAGCUAAGGUCCCAAAGUCAUGGUUAAGUGGGAAACGAUGUGGGAAGGCCCAGACAGCCAGGAUGUUGGCUUAGAAGCAGCCAUCAUUUAAAGAAAGCGUAAUAGCUCACUGGUCGAGUCGGCCUGCGCGGAAGAUGUAACGGGGCUAAACCAUGCACCGAAGCUGCGGCAGCGACACUGUGUGUUGUUGGGUAGGGGAGCGUUCUGUAAGCCUGUGAAGGUGUGUCGUGAGGCAUGCUGGAGGUAUCAGAAGUGCGAAUGCUGACAUAAGUAACGAUAAAGCGGGUGAAAAGCCCGCUCGCCGGAAGACCAAGGGUUCCUGUCCAACGUUAAUCGGGGCAGGGUGAGUCGACCCCUAAGGCGAGGCCGAAAGGCGUAGUCGAUGGGAAACGGGUUAAUAUUCCCGUACUUGGUGUUACUGCGAAGGGGGGACGGAGAAGGCUAUGUUGGCCGGGCGACGGUUGUCCCGGUUUAAGCGUGUAGGUGUGUGUUCCAGGUAAAUCCGGUUCACUUUAACACUGAGGCGUGACGACGAGGCACUACGGUGCUGAAGCAACAAAUGCCCUGCUUCCAGGAAAAGCCUCUAAGCAUCAGGUAACAUCAAAUCGUACCCCAAACCGACACAGGUGGUCAGGUAGAGAAUACCAAGGCGCUUGAGAGAACUCGGGUGAAGGAACUAGGCAAAAUGGUGCCGUAACUUCGGGAGAAGGCACGCUGACAUGUAGGUGAAGUGAUUUACUCAUGGAGCUGAAGUCAGUCGAAGAUACCAGCUGGCUGCAACUGUUUAUUAAAAACACAGCACUGUGCAAACACGAAAGUGGACGUAUACGGUGUGACGCCUGCCCGGUGCCGGAAGGUUAAUUGAUGGGGUCAGCGCAAGCGAAGCUCCUGAUCGAAGCCCCGGUAAACGGCGGCCGUAACUAUAACGGUCCUAAGGUAGCGAAAUUCCUUGUCGGGUAAGUUCCGACCUGCACGAAUGGCGUAAUGAUGGCCAGGCUGUCUCCACCCGAGACUCAGUGAAAUUGAACUCGCUGUGAAGAUGCAGUGUACCCGCGGCAAGACGGAAAGACCCCGUGAACCUUUACUAUAGCUUGACACUGAACAUUGAGCCUUGAUGUGUAGGAUAGGUGGGAGGCUUUGAAGUGUGGACGCCAGUCUGCAUGGAGCCGACCUUGAAAUACCACCCUUUAAUGUUUGAUGUUCUAACGUGGACCCGUUAUCCGGGUUGCGGACAGUGUCUGGUGGGUAGUUUGACUGGGGCGGUCUCCUCCUAAAGAGUAACGGAGGAGCACGAAGGUUGGCUAAUCCUGGUCGGACAUCAGGAGGUUAGUGCAAUGGCAUAAGCCAGCUUGACUGCGAGCGUGACGGCGCGAGCAGGUGCGAAAGCAGGUCAUAGUGAUCCGGUGGUUCUGAAUGGAAGGGCCAUCGCUCAACGGAUAAAAGGUACUCCGGGGAUAACAGGCUGAUACCGCCCAAGAGUUCAUAUCGACGGCGGUGUUUGGCACCUCGAUGUCGGCUCAUCACAUCCUGGGGCUGAAGUAGGUCCCAAGGGUAUGGCUGUUCGCCAUUUAAAGUGGUACGCGAGCUGGGUUUAGAACGUCGUGAGACAGUUCGGUCCCUAUCUGCCGUGGGCGCUGGAGAACUGAGGGGGGCUGCUCCUAGUACGAGAGGACCGGAGUGGACGCAUCACUGGUGUUCGGGUUGUCAUGCCAAUGGCACUGCCCGGUAGCUAAAUGCGGAAGAGAUAAGUGCUGAAAGCAUCUAAGCACGAAACUUGCCCCGAGAUGAGUUCUCCCUGAGACUUAGAGUCUCCUGAAGGAACGUUGAAGACGACGACGUUGAUAGGCCGGGUGUGUAAGCGCAGCGAUGCGUUGAGCUAACCGG